RNAcentral lists this ribosomal RNA (253 nucleotides) under uncultured bacterium. RNAcentral's name for it is "partial 16S ribosomal RNA". It matches the Rfam family "Bacterial small subunit ribosomal RNA", at positions 524 to 776 of the family's 1533-position model. The record is from RNAcentral.
UACGUAGGGUGCGAGCGUUAAUCGGAAUUACUGGGCGUAAAGCGUGCGCAGGCGGUUUUGUAAGCCAGAUGUGAAAUCCCCGGGCUCAACCUGGGAAUGGCAUUUGGGACUGCAGGGCUGGAGUUUGGCAGAGGAGACUGGAAUUCCCGGUGUAGCAGUGAAAUGCGUAGAUAUCGGGAGGAAUACCGAUGGCGAAGGCAGGUCUCUGGGCUAUAACUGACGCUCAUGCACGAAAGCGUGGGGAGCAAACAGG